Non-coding RNA from Pelobates cultripes (western spadefoot toad), 93 nucleotides. The record is from the annotation of a GenBank genome assembly. Lineage: Eukaryota; Metazoa; Chordata; Amphibia; Anura; Pelobatidae.
UCAGGGUGUGUGUUUGUAUGUGUGUCAGGGUAUGUAGCUGUGUGUCAGACACAGAUACAUACCCUGGCACACAUACAGAUACACACCCUGAAA